Mucidula mucida is the source of this 99-nucleotide non-coding RNA. The record is from the annotation of a GenBank genome assembly. NCBI's taxonomy places the organism in Eukaryota, Fungi, Basidiomycota, Agaricomycetes, Agaricales, Physalacriaceae.
GGGGACAUAGCUCAGCUGGGAGAGCAACAGACUGAAGUGACACUUUCUUUGUCCGGAGAAUUCUUCUGGAGGUCCCCAGUUCAAUCCUGGGUGUCCCCA